CUAAGGUCCGUAGUCGAAAGGGAAACAGCCCAGACCGCCAGCUAAGGUCCCUAAGUCAUGGCUAAGUGGAAAAGGAUGUGGGAAGCCCAAAACAACCAGGAGGUUGGCUUAGAAGCAGCCACCCUUUAAAGAAAGCGUAACAGCUCACUGGUCUAGUUAAGCCGUCCUGCGCCGAAGAUGUACCGGGGCUCAAGAUGUGUACCGAAACUGCGGAUUCAGAUCUAUGAUCUGUCUGGUAGCGGAGCGUUCCGUAAGCCUGCGAAGGCGAACCGUGAGGUUUGCUGGAGGUAUCGGAAGUGAGAAUGCUGACAUGAGUAGCGAGAUGAGGGUGAGAAACCCUCACGGCGAAAAUCCAAGGGUUCCUGCGCAAGGCUAAUCCGCGCAGGGUGAGUCGGCCCCUAAGGUGAGGGCGAAAGCCGUAGCCGAUGGGAAUCAGGUUAAUAUUCCUGAGCCUGCUGGUGGUGACGAAUACCGUAAGUCGUUCCUCCUUAUCGGAUUGGUAGGGGCGGUGAAGGUGUUCCAGGAAAUAGCCCCAGCAAUAUAGACCGUACCCGAAACCGACACAGGUGGGCAGGUAGAGUAUACCUAGGCGCUUGAGAGAACGGUGUCGAAGGAACUCGGCAAAUUGACCCCGUAACUUCGGGAGAAGGGGUACCUCCCUUUGGGCAACCAGAGGGGGGUGGCACAGACCAGGGGGUAGCGACUGUUUACUAAAAACACAGGGCUCUGCUAAGUCGCAAGACGAUGUAUAGGGUCUGACGCCUGCCCGGUGCCGGAAGGUUAAGAGGAGGGGUGCAAGCUCCGAAUCGAAGCCCCGGUAAACGGCGGCCGUAACUAUAACGGUCCUAAGGUAGCGAAAUUCCUUGUCGGGUAAGUUCCGACCCGCACGAAUGGCGUAACGACUUCCCCUCUGUCUCCAACAUCGACUCAGCGAAAUUGAAAUCUCCGUGAAGAUGCGGAGUACCCGCGGUCAGACGGAAAGACCCCGUGCACCUUUACUACAGCUUUGCAGUGGUAUUAGGGGACAAAUGUGUAGGAUAGGUGGGAGACUUUGAAGCUUCGGCGCUAGCCGGGGUGGAGUCAACCUUGAAAUACCACCCUUAUUAGUUUGAGGUUCUAACCUCGGACCGUGAACCCGGUUCAGGGACAUUGUCAGGCGGGUAGUUUGACUGGGGCGGUCGCCUCCAAAAAUGUAACGGAGGCGCGCGAUGGUUCUCUCAGGCUGAUUGGAAACCAGCCGUCGAGUGUAAAGGCAUAAGAGAGCUUGACUGCGAGACUGACAAGUCGAGCAGGUGGGAAACCAGGUCUUAGUGAUCCGGCGGUUCUGAAUGGAAGGGCCGUCGCUCAACGGAUAAAAGGUACGCCGGGGAUAACAGGCUUAUCGCCCCCAAGAGUCCAUAUCGACGGGGCGGUUUGGCACCUCGAUGUCGGCUCACCGCAUCCUGGGGCUGAAGCAGGUCCCAAGGGUUGGUCUGUUCGCCCAUUAAAGCGGUACGCGAGCUGGGUUUAAAACGUCGUGAGACAGUUUGGUCCCUAUCCGUCGUGGGUGCUGGAUAUUUGAGAGGAGCUGUUCCUAGUACGAGAGGACCGGAAUGGACGAACCAAUGGUGUUCCAGUUGUCGCGCCAGCGGCAUUGCUGGGUAGCUAAGUUCGGAAUGGAUAACCGCUGAAAGCAUCUAAGCGGGAAGCCAACCUCAAGAUAAGAUAUCCCUCUGUAUGGCAACAUACAGACUAAAGACCCCUUGUAGACUACAAGGUUGAUAG
Molecule: ribosomal RNA, 1764 nt
Filed under: marine metagenome
Description: bacterial LSU rRNA
Rfam family: Bacterial large subunit ribosomal RNA
Source: RNAcentral